UACGUAGGGGGCAAGCGUUGUCCGGAUUUAUUGGGCGUAAAGAGCGUGUAGGCGGCUAGAUAGGUCCGUUGUGAAAACUCGAGGCUCAACCUCGAGACGUCGAUGGAAACCAUCUGGCUAGAGUCCGGAAGAGGAGAGUGGAAUUCCUGGUGUAGCGGUGAAAUGCGUAGAUAUCGAGAGGAACACCUGCGGCGAAGGCGGGUAGCUGGGCCGACACUGACGCUGAGGCGCGAAAGCCAGGGGAGCGAACGGG
RNAcentral lists this ribosomal RNA (253 nucleotides) under uncultured bacterium. RNAcentral's name for it is "partial 16S ribosomal RNA". It matches the Rfam family "Bacterial small subunit ribosomal RNA", at positions 524 to 776 of the family's 1533-position model. The record is from RNAcentral.